UGGGGAUUAUUGGACAAUGGAGGAAACUCUGAUCCAGCAAUUCUGUGUGUGUGAAGAAGGUUUUAGGACUGUAAAACACUUUUAGUAGGGAAGAAAAAAAUGACGGUACCUACAGAAGAAGCAACGGCUAAAUACGUGCCAGCAGCCGCGGUAAUACGUAUGUUGCGAGCGUUAUCCGGAAUUAUUGGGCUUAAAGGGCAUCUAGGCGGUAAGACAAGUUGAAGGUGAAAACCUGUGGCUCAACCAUAGGCUUGCCUACAAAACUGUUGAACUAGAGUACUGGAAAGGUGGGUGGAACUACACGAGUAGAGGUGAAAUUCGUAGAUAUGUGUAGGAAUGCCGAUGAUGAAGAUAACUCACUGGACAGAAACUGACGCUGAAGUGCGAAAGCUAGGGGAGCAAACAGG
This 407-nucleotide ribosomal RNA is filed under the name Verrucomicrobiota bacterium. Its description in RNAcentral is "Verrucomicrobia bacterium partial 16S ribosomal RNA". It matches the Rfam family "Bacterial small subunit ribosomal RNA", at positions 355 to 776 of the family's 1533-position model. The record is from RNAcentral. Lineage: Bacteria; Pseudomonadati; Verrucomicrobiota.